RNAcentral lists this ribosomal RNA (525 nucleotides) under uncultured bacterium. RNAcentral's name for it is "bacterial SSU rRNA". It matches the Rfam family "Bacterial small subunit ribosomal RNA", at positions 96 to 638 of the family's 1533-position model. The record is from RNAcentral.
UGGCGGACGGGGUGAGUAACGCGUGGGUAACCUGCCUUAUACAGGGGGAUAACAACCAGAAAUGGUUGCUAAUACCGCAUAAGCGCACAGGACCGCAUGGUCCGGUGUGAAAAACUCCGGUGGUAUAAGAUGGACCCGCGUUGGAUUAGCUAGUUGGCAGGGUAACGGCCUACCAAGGCGACGAUCCAUAGCCGGCCUGAGAGGGUGAACGGCCACAUUGGGACUGAGACACGGCCCAGACUCCUACGGGAGGCAGCAGUGGGGAAUAUUGCACAAUGGGGGAAACCCUGAUGCAGCGACGCCGCGUGAAGGAAGAAGUAUCUCGGUAUGUAAACUUCUAUCAGCAGGGAAGAUAGUGACGGUACCUGACUAAGAAGCCCCGGCUAACUACGUGCCANCAGCCGCGGUAAUACGUAGGGGGCAAGCGUUAUCCGGAUUUACUGGGUGUAAAGGGAGCGUAGACGGACUGGCAAGUCUGAUGUGAAAGGCGGGGGCUCAACCCCUGGACUGCAUUGGAAACUGUUA